CUACGGGAGGCAGCAGUGGGGAAUCUUCCGCAAUGGGCGCAAGCCUGACGGAGCAACGCCGCGUGAGUGAAGAAGGCCUUCGGGUCGUAAAGCUCUGUCUUUAGGGAAGAAAAACUAUGGUGAAAAUAUUGCCAUAGUCUGACGGUACCUGAGGAGGAAGCUCCGGCUAACUACGUGCCAGCAGCCGCGGUAAUACGUAGGGAGCGAGCGUUGUCCGGAAUUACUGGGCGUAAAGGGCGUGUAGGCGGGAAUGUAAGUAAGGUGUGAAACCUCCGGGCUCAACUUGGAGACUGCACUUUAAACUGGAUUUCUUGAGGGCAGGAGAGGAAAGUGGAAUUCCUAGUGUAGCGGUGAAAUGCGUAGAUAUUAGGAGGAACAUCAGUGGCGAAGGCGACUUUCUGGACUGCACCUGACGCUGAGGCGCGAAGGCGUGGGUAGCAAACAGGAUUAGAUACCCCGGUAGUC
This 465-nucleotide ribosomal RNA is filed under the name uncultured bacterium. RNAcentral describes it as "partial 16S ribosomal RNA". It matches the Rfam family "Bacterial small subunit ribosomal RNA", at positions 339 to 795 of the family's 1533-position model. The record is from RNAcentral.